Molecule: ribosomal RNA, 642 nt
Filed under: uncultured bacterium
Lineage: Bacteria
Description: bacterial SSU rRNA
Rfam family: Bacterial small subunit ribosomal RNA
Source: RNAcentral
UCCGAACCAUCUGGUUUAAAGUUUGAUCCUGGCUCAGCUGGGGGUAUCAUGGCUCAGACGAACGCUGGCGGCGUGCCUAAUACAUGCAAGUCGAGCGAACAGAGAAGGAGCUUGCUCCUUCGAUGUUAGCGGCGGACGGGUGAGUGACACGUGGGCAACCUACCUUAUAGUUUGGGAUAACUCCGGGAAACCGGGGCUAAUACCGAAUAAUCUAUUUUACUUCAUGGUGAAAUACUGAAAGACGGUUUCGGCUGUCGCUAUAAGAUGGGCCCGCGGCGCAUUAGCUAGUUGGUGAGGUAACGGCUCACCUAGGCGACGAUGCGUAGCCGACCUGAGAGGGUGAUCGGCCACACUGGGACUGAGACACGGCCCAGACUCCUACGGGAGGCAGCAGUAGGGAAUCUUCCACAAUGGGCGAAAGCCUGAUGGAGCAACGCCGCGUGAGUGAAGAAGGUUUUCGGAUCGUGAAAACUCUGUUGUAACGGGACAGAACAAGUACAGUUGGUAACUGGCUGUACUUGACGGUACCUUAUUAGAAAGCACGGCUAACUACGUGCAGCCAGCCGCGGGUAAUACGUACGAGUGGGCCAAGCGUUGUCCCGGCAAUUNUUGGGCCGGUAAAAGCGCGCCGCAUGCGGUCCC